This 1479-nucleotide long non-coding RNA is filed under the name Marmota monax (woodchuck). The record is from RNAcentral. Lineage: Eukaryota; Metazoa; Chordata; Mammalia; Rodentia; Sciuridae.
CCCUGCUGCUGGGCCACCCUGUGCCCUCGCACAGGAAGGCUCUCCUUGUGAGAAUGGCCCCUCUCCUCCCUGGAGACGGCCACUUGCUCCACGUCACCCUCCAACACACAUGCCUGCUGAGCCAAGCUGCCUCCUGUGUGAGGUCUCACCAGGGUCAGUGACCUGGGCAUUCUCAGACACUGACAGGCCAUUCAGAAGACACGGGACAAUGAAAAGGAGCAAAUUAUGGAGGCACACAUCAGCCGAGGGGUCUCCAGAAACCAAAGGAAAGGCGGAAGCCCACAGACCACACAGGUAGGGUUCCUUUUGUGCAGCAUCCCUGAUGAGGCCAUGAAUCAGAGGCCAGAACCGCAGCCAGCAGGGGCUGAGUGGGAGGCAGGAGGUGUGGCUGAAAGGGUGGGGGACCCGGGAGGCCUGGGUGCUGCCUGUAUGCUUGUCGCAGCUCUGGGACCCACUGUCACGGCCCAUAAUUCCCCCCUUUUUUCUGCAGUUCUGGGACCAAACCCAGGGCCUCAUGCCUCCUGAGCAAGUCCCCCUGGAGCUCCCCCUGCCCAGAGAAGAUGUCUGAUUGAGGCAGAAAUCCAAGGUGCCCAGGACCAGGACGGGCGCAGCCACGCAGGCACCCUGGGCCGUGGUCCUGCACUGGAAGCCUCCUGAGAACAGGGGGAGAGCACUGUCCAGAUCGAAGCCUGUAGCCUGGGGACACAGGUGCCGCUGCCUGAGCCUUGUCCCCAAGUGUCCCCUCCUGGGCUGAGCAGGGGUGUGGGCAUCGGGGAGACGAGGGACCUCAGCGCAGAGUCUCCCUGGCUCCCUGGUGUCUGAGAGGCCGGCCCUGGGCCGCGACUCCCCCCCUUCCCGCCCCUGCUGCGUGGAGAGGGUGAGAGCAACUCCAGGAACAGCUGCAGACACCUGGCCCCACUGCUCCCUGCUGUGUCCCCUGCAGGGCGCCUGCUGCCCCAUGACCACCCACCCGCAGGUGUCCACCCUCGUCCUGUGCAGAGGUCACCAGCACAGAAGGUUCCAGAGGAGGUGGAGGGUCUUGGGCUCUGCUCUGACAUGAGGAAGGGGCUGGGCCAGGCCCCCCGGGACCGUGCAGCUGAUGCAGGCCACUGGGUGUCGCCCGUGGCGCUGGCAGGACGGGAGGGAAGCCCACGGCCAGCUCUGCCCCUCCUGGUGCCUGCAGCCUGCACUGCUUCCCCUCCCCGUCUCCCUACUUGGAAGUGGCUGUGCUCUGGGACUCUGCCUGUUGUGGGCCCAGAGAAGCGGUGCGUGUGGCCUCCAUGCCAAGUUCAGCAGCACCAGGACCGCUGUCACCCUCUGCCCCUCCCCUGCCUGAGGUCUGUGGCCACAGCUUCUGGGGCACUUGCGGGACCCUUCAUCCUUCAGACGUCCCCUGCACAGACAAAGCCUCUCCUGCUCCCCUUGACGUGAAAAACCUCCCACGAGUCAUCGUAGCCCUGUGUGUGCAUGUGCACAUGU